AAUGAGAAGGCAGAGGAAUUAGAGAGAAGGAAGUAACUGAAUUGGUUACAGAGCGAAGUUCCAGAACCAGGAGAUACGACUUUCCCGUUUGACAGAAAAAACCGAGGGCCCAGCACAUUGGGGGGAGGAAAUCUAGCCAACCUGGAGCCCUGGAAAGUUCCAGAACAGUGGUGAGCUGAGGACCAGGAGCACGAGGGGCCAUGGAACCACGUACAUUCCGCGAAGCAGCCCUGGCCCGGGAAGGAGAGCCAGCUUUUCACAGGGGAUGAUUUUCGAGGGGAAGUGCCACACGGAGCCAAAUACCCGAACGGGGGACGGAAGACGGGGAUCUUCGGAUGUUAUCAAACGUGUUCAAAGGUCUUCGAGAGUUUUCCCCCAUCCACCAAUGACGGUCCUCCAUACAGAUCCUCACAUGGAUGCAUGUGCAGUCCUGCGUACUGUAUACUUUUGUUGCAGUCAUUAAAAGAUUCUUUUCCAUCAUA
Molecule: long non-coding RNA, 482 nt
Organism: Canis lupus familiaris (dog)
Lineage: Eukaryota; Metazoa; Chordata; Mammalia; Carnivora; Canidae
Exons: 2
Source: RefSeq, a predicted model, not a curated record